This 119-nucleotide ribosomal RNA is filed under the name Lepisosteus oculatus (spotted gar). Lineage: Eukaryota; Metazoa; Chordata; Actinopteri; Semionotiformes; Lepisosteidae. The record is from RNAcentral.
GCUAGCAGCCAUAUCAACCUGUAACUCACAUCUGGCAACCCACUGAUGCUAAGCACCUGUGAGCCUGGUUAAUACCUGGAUGGGAGAUCUCUGGGGAAAAACUAAGGUUGCUGCUGGAA